UNUGACUUGAGUGCAGAGGGGGAGAGUGGANUUCCAUGUGUAGCGGUGAAAUGCGUAGAUAUAUGGAGGAACACCAGUGGCGAAAGCGGCUCUCUGNUCUGUCACUGGCGCUGAGGCUCGAAAGCGUGGGUAGCGAACAGGAUUAGAUACCCUGGUAGUNCACGCCGUAAACGAUGGGUGCUAGGUGUUAGGCCCUUUCCGGGGCUUAGUGCCGGAGCUAACGCAAUAAGCACUCCGCCUGGGGAGUACGACCGCAAGGUUGAAACUCAAAGGAAUUGACGGGGGCCCGCACAAGCGGUGGAGCAUGUGGUUUAAUUCGAAGCAACGCGAAGAACCUUACCAGGUCUUGACAUCCCGAUGCUAUUCUUAGAGAUAGGAAGUUACUUCGGUACAUCGGAGACAGGUGGUGCAUGGUUGUCGUCAGCUCGUGUCGUGAGAUGUUGGGUUAAGUCCCGCAACGAGCGCAACCCUUAUUGUUAGUUGCCAUCAUUAAGUUGGGCACUCUAGCGAGACUGCCGGUAAUAAACCGGAGGAAGGUGGGGAUGACGUCAAAUCAUCAUGCCCCUUAUGACCUGGGCUACACACGUGCUACAAUGGUCGGUACAACGAGUUGCGAGCCGGUGACGGCAAGCUAAUCUCUGAAAGCCGAUCUCAGUUCGGAUUGGAGGCUGCAACUCGCCUCCAUGAAGUCGGAAUCGCUAGUAAUCGCGGAUCAGCACGCCGCGGUGAAUACGUUCCCGGGCCUUGUACACACCGCCCGUCACACCACGAGAGUUUGUAACACCCGAAGUCGGUGAGGUAACCUUUUAGGGGCCAGCCGCCUAAG
RNAcentral lists this ribosomal RNA (826 nucleotides) under uncultured bacterium. RNAcentral's name for it is "bacterial SSU rRNA". It matches the Rfam family "Bacterial small subunit ribosomal RNA", at positions 636 to 1461 of the family's 1533-position model. The record is from RNAcentral.